AACGAACGCUGGCGGCAUGCCUAACACAUGCAAGUCGAACGAACCCUUCGGGUCUAGUGGCGGACGGGUGCGUAACACGUGGGAAUCUGCCCUUUGGUUCGGAAUAACUGAUAGAAAUGUCUGCUAAUACCGGAUGUUCUCGUCAGGCCAAAGAUUUAUCGGCAAUGGAUGGGCCCGCGUAGGAUUAGGUAGUUGGUGGGGUAACGGCCUACCAAGGCGACGAUCAGUAGCUGGUCUGAGAGGAUGACCAGCCACACUGGGACUGAGACACGGCCCAGACUCCUACGGGAGGCAGCAGUGGGGAAUAUUGCGCAAUGGGCGAAAGCCUGACGCAGCAAUGCCGCGUGAGUGAUGAAGGCCUUAGGAUUGUAAAAUUCUUUUACCAGGGACGAUAAUGACGGUACCUGGAGAAGAAGCCCCGGCUAACUCCGUG
This 433-nucleotide ribosomal RNA is filed under the name uncultured bacterium. RNAcentral's name for it is "partial 16S ribosomal RNA". It matches the Rfam family "Bacterial small subunit ribosomal RNA", at positions 29 to 507 of the family's 1533-position model. The record is from RNAcentral.